CCUUAGGAGGAACGGGUCCAAGGAAAGAGCGCCUUCUGGAACUGUCAAGCCUUCAUUUGGCAGCUCAGUGACUGGCUUGGUCUACUUGUGAGCUGAAAGGCAGCCUGCAACCUAGGACGGCACAGACAGAGCUGCUUCUGGCAAGGUGCCAUGGCUAGCUGUCCACAGAAGUGGCUGAGGAUUUGAGGUAAGGCCGGAGAGCGGCA
Molecule: long non-coding RNA, 206 nt
Organism: Oxyura jamaicensis (ruddy duck)
Lineage: Eukaryota; Metazoa; Chordata; Aves; Anseriformes; Anatidae
Exons: 3
Source: RefSeq, a predicted model, not a curated record